GAUGAAGAACGUAGCGAAAUGGGAUAAGUAGUGUGAAUUGCAGAAUUCAGUGAAUCAUCGAAUCUUUGAACGCACAUUGCGCCCUUUGGUAUUCCAAAGGGCAUGCCUGUUCGAGCGUCAUUUGUACCCUCAAGCUUUGCUUGGUGUUGGGCGUCUUGUCUCUAGCUUUGCUGGAGACUCGCCUUAAAGUAAUUGGCAGCCGGCCUACUGGUUUCGGAGCGCAGCACAAGUCGCACUCUCUAUCAGCAAAGGUCUAGCAUCCAUUAAGCCUUUUUUUCAACUUUUGACCUCGGAUCAGGUAGGGAUACCCGCUGAACUUAAGCAUAUCAAUAAGCGGAGGA
Molecule: unclassified non-coding RNA, 341 nt
Filed under: soil metagenome
Description: partial contains 5.8S ribosomal RNA, internal transcribed spacer 2, and large subunit ribosomal RNA
Rfam family: 5.8S ribosomal RNA (bases 1-120)
Source: RNAcentral